CUUGUACUAAUGUGCGAAAGCGUGAUACAGCGACGCCGCGUGAGCGAUGAAGCCCUUCGGGGUGUAAAGCUCUGUUAUAUGGGAAGAAACGGUUAUUGGUGAAUAGCCGGUAAUCCUGACGGUACCAUAUGAGCAAGUCACGGCUAACUCCGUGCCAGCAGCCGCGGUAAUACGGAGGUGGCGAACGUUGUUCGGAAUCACUGGGUGUAAAGGGUGUGUAGGCGGGGUAACAAGUCAGAUGUGAAAUCUUGCGGCUCAACCGUAAGCGUGCAUUUGAUACUGUUAUUCUUGAGUUCAGAAGAGGAGGGUGGAAUUCUUGGUGUAGCGGUGGAAUGCGUAGAUAUCAAGAAGAACACCGGUGGCGAAGGCGACCCUCUGGUCUGAAACUGACGCUGAGGCACGAAAGCUAGGGUAGCAAACA
This 421-nucleotide ribosomal RNA is filed under the name uncultured bacterium. Its description in RNAcentral is "bacterial SSU rRNA". It matches the Rfam family "Bacterial small subunit ribosomal RNA", at positions 359 to 774 of the family's 1533-position model. The record is from RNAcentral.